CCUACGGGAGGCAGCAGUGGGGAAUAUUGCACAAUGGGGGAAACCCUGAUGCAGCGACGCCGCGUGAGUGAGGAAGUAUUUCGGUAUUUAAAGCUCUAUCAGCAGGGAAGAAAAUGACGGUACCUGACUAAGAAGCCCCGGCUAACUACGGGCCAGCAGCCGCGGUAAUACGUAGGGGGCAAGCGUUAUCCGGAUUUAAUGGGGGGAAAGGGAGCGUAGACGGUUAAUCAAGUCAGAAGUGAAAACCCAGGGCUAAACCUUGGGACUGCUUUUGAAACUGAGUAGCUAGAGUGCAGGAGAGGUAAGCGGAAUUCCUGGUGUAGCGGUGAAAUGCGUAGAUAUUAGGAGGAACACCAGUGGCGAAGGCGGCUUACUGGACUGUAACUGACGUUGAGGCUCGAAAGCGUGGGGAGCAAACAGGAUUAGAUACCCUGGUAGUC
RNAcentral lists this ribosomal RNA (440 nucleotides) under uncultured bacterium. RNAcentral describes it as "partial 16S ribosomal RNA". It matches the Rfam family "Bacterial small subunit ribosomal RNA", at positions 338 to 795 of the family's 1533-position model. The record is from RNAcentral.